Candidatus Adlerbacteria bacterium is the source of this 72-nucleotide non-coding RNA. The record is from Rfam. NCBI's taxonomy places the organism in Bacteria, Candidatus Adleribacteriota.
CCUCUCGUAGUCUAAUGGAUAAGAUACUUCCCUCCGAAGGAGGCGAUGCAGGUUCGAUUCCUGCCGAGAGGA